UGAUGGCGACCGGCGCACGGGUGAGUAACACGUAUCCAACCUGCCUACCACUCGGGGAUAGCCUUUCGAAAGAAAGAUUAAUACCCGAUAGUAUGAUAAUAGGGCAUCCUAUUUUCAUUAAAGAAUUUCGGUGGUUGAUGGGGAUGCGUUCCAUUAGUUUGUUGGCGGGGUAACGGCCCACCAAGACAUCGAUGGAUAGGGGUUCUGAGAGGAAGGUCCCCACAUUGGAACUGAGACACGGUCCAA
This 246-nucleotide ribosomal RNA is filed under the name uncultured Bacteroidota bacterium. RNAcentral describes it as "uncultured Bacteroidetes bacterium partial 16S ribosomal RNA". It matches the Rfam family "Bacterial small subunit ribosomal RNA", at positions 86 to 334 of the family's 1533-position model. The record is from RNAcentral. Lineage: Bacteria; Pseudomonadati; Bacteroidota.